CACCGUUCGGUGUAGAGCUCGUGGAAGCUAGACCAUUUCCCAGGGCCGGAGACUGACCUUCGCGGUGCCACUCCUCACUCGCCGAUGUCUCUCGUAAGCUGAUGUGAUACGCACAUCGGGACUGCGGUUUCGGCGAAAGAGCUGCCUUCCGCAGCCUUAUGUUGCGGGACGUUCCUGACCUUGAUGAUAAAAUUUAAACUCAAAGAAUCAAGGAUGCUAUUUUUACCUAAAUAUGCAUGGAGAGGAUCUGGACGUUCGUUAUCAUAUUUUCCAAAACCACCCAUAAUUGUAUUUUGCGUGUCAAGAACAAAUGCCCUAUUCUCCUGACAAUCGGAUAAUUCACUAACACCAAGUAACUGUAAAGUAG
This is a long non-coding RNA of Nasonia vitripennis (jewel wasp), 367 nucleotides long. RefSeq lists it as uncharacterized. NCBI's taxonomy places the organism in Eukaryota, Metazoa, Arthropoda, Insecta, Hymenoptera, Pteromalidae. The transcript has 2 exons. The record is from RefSeq and is a predicted model, not a curated record.